GUGGGGAAUAUUGGACAAUGGGCGAAAGCCUGAUCCAGCCAUGCCGCGUGAGUGAUGAAGGCCUUAGGGUUGUAAAGCUCUUUUGUCCGGGAAGAUAAUGACUGUACCGGAAGAAUAAGCCCCGGCUAACUUCGUGCCAGCAGCCGCGGUAAUACGAAGGGGGCUAGCGUUGCUCGGAAUCACUGGGAGUAAAGGGCGCGUAGGCGGACUUUUAAGUCGGAGGUGAAAGCCCAGGGCUCAACCCUGGAAUUGCCUUCGAUACUGGGAGUCUUGAGUUCGGAAGAGGUUGGUGGAACUGCGAGUGUAGAGGUGAAAUUCGUAGAUAUUCGCAAGAACACCGGUGGCGAAGGCGGCCAACUGGUCCGAAACUGACGCUGAGGCGCGAAAGCGUGGGGAGCAAACAGGAUUAGAUACCCUUGUAGUCC
RNAcentral lists this ribosomal RNA (425 nucleotides) under uncultured bacterium. RNAcentral's name for it is "bacterial SSU rRNA". It matches the Rfam family "Bacterial small subunit ribosomal RNA", at positions 354 to 796 of the family's 1533-position model. The record is from RNAcentral.